This 464-nucleotide ribosomal RNA is filed under the name Vreelandella stevensii. RNAcentral's name for it is "partial 16S ribosomal RNA". It matches the Rfam family "Bacterial small subunit ribosomal RNA", at positions 338 to 795 of the family's 1533-position model. Lineage: Bacteria; Pseudomonadati; Pseudomonadota; Gammaproteobacteria; Oceanospirillales; Halomonadaceae. The record is from RNAcentral.
CCUACGGGAGGCAGCAGUGGGGAAUAUUGGACAAUGGGCGAAAGCCUGAUCCAGCCAUGCCGCGUGUGUGAAGAAGGCCUUCGGGUUGUAAAGCACUUUCAGUGGGGAAGAAAGCCUUGGGGCUAAUACCCUCGAGGAAGGACAUCACCCACAGAAGAAGCACCGGCUAACUCCGUGCCAGCAGCCGCGGUAAUACGGAGGGUGCGAGCGUUAAUCGGAAUUACUGGGCGUAAAGCGCGCGUAGGCGGUCUGAUAAGCCGGUUGUGAAAGCCCCGGGCUCAACCUGGGAACGGCAUCCGGAACUGUCAGGCUAGAGUGCAGGAGAGGAAGGUAGAAUUCCCGGUGUAGCGGUGAAAUGCGUAGAGAUCGGGAGGAAUACCAGUGGCGAAGGCGGCCUUCUGGACUGACACUGACGCUGAGGUGCGAAAGCGUGGGUAGCAAACAGGAUUAGAACCCUUGUAGUC